AGCGGAGGGAUCAUUACCGAGUUUACAACUCCCAAACCCCUGUGAACAUACCUAUACGUUGCCUCGGCGGAUCAGCCCGCGCCCCGUAAAACGGGACGGCCCGCCCGAGGACCCCUAAACUCUGUUUUUAGUGGAACUUCUGAGUAAAACAAACAAAUAAAUCAAAACUUUCAACAACGGAUCUCUUGGUUCUGGCAUCGAUGAAGAACGCAGCAAAAUGCGAUAAGUAAUGUGAAUUGCAGAAUUCAGUGAAUCAUCGAAUCUUUGAACGCACAUUGCGCCCGCCAGUAUUCUGGCGGGCAUGCCUGUUCGAGCGUCAUUUCAACCCUCAAGCUCAGCUUGGUGUUGGGACUCGCGGUAACCCGCGUUCCCCAAAUCGAUUGGCGGUCACGUCGAGCUUCCAUAGCGUAGUAAUCAUACACCUCGUUACUGGUAAUCGUCGCGGCCACGCCGUAAAACCCCAACUUCUGAAUGUUGACCUCGGAUCAGGUAGGAAUACCCGCUGAACUUAAGCAUAUAAACCGGGGAA
This 529-nucleotide ribosomal RNA is filed under the name Fusarium sp. Its description in RNAcentral is "eukaryotic LSU rRNA". The stretch from base 166 to 319 matches the Rfam family "5.8S ribosomal RNA". Lineage: Eukaryota; Fungi; Ascomycota; Sordariomycetes; Hypocreales; Nectriaceae. The record is from RNAcentral.